UGAGUCGUAUUCAAUUAGAAUAAAUAGUCUCGUACCUGCAUUUACACGAUAUAAGUAAGUCGCACGUCUAUCAUCACGUGCAACCUAUUAUUCAAAACGGCAUCUAUUGUACUUAUAUUUUACUUAAUUUGCUUUGCCAUACUCAAUUCAGCAACUUAAUAUUAUUAUUUUAGACCCAAGAUUACCCUCGUGUAUAUAGACCCAAAUAAACUCUAUUCAACCUAGCUUUCCUUAUAUACACAUAUAAUUUUUUUUUUAACUUUCGAUUAUUUGACCGAUGGGGGAUGGCUCGACGCUUGGUUUAUACCACACAUGACCUUGAAACUCCAUAGUACUGGAGUCAGCUUGAGCUUCAAUGUUAUUUAAACGAACUGAAAAUUUAUUCAAUUCCGUUUUCAUUUGUUCUAAUGUUAUGUCUUCAAACUCUUGUUCGUCCAAUAUUCGGGAAUCAAACAUAUCGCUGCGGUAUUGAAACAAGGGAGAAAACUUAUUUUCCAGCUCUUUAUCUAGAAUUGACAAUUCAUCAAUAAUUAUCUUAGUGAAGGGAUCACUUCUUUGAAGACAUAUUUCUAAAACGGAAGCCAAAUCUGUUUGAGUCACAGAUAAAGUACUGGUCCAUGGCUGACCUGUAUACGCUUCACGCAUUAAAUAAGCAUACCAUUUUGCUAAAUAGCAACCAGCAGAUUCUUUAUCGGUUAAUUCUUCUUUCUCCUUGAGGUCUAGAAAUACCAAAGAAUCAACGGUUUGGCUAAUCUCUAAAAUUUCAGACCACAAGGUUGUAAAUAAUGCAGGUAAAAAGAAUGAAUGCUUCGAAGCUAUACUUUGUAACAGAGGCAGCCAUACAUUUUUAAGCUUUGGAAAAAAGCUGAUUGGCAUAGUUCUGGAGGGUAUUAAAACACGCUUUUCCAAGAAACAGCUGACGACAAUAUCUAGAUUUGUAGUCUCUAUUGCAAAAUCCAAAUCUUUUUCAUCAUCGACGAAAGAAGCUGGGAUAUAAGGUAACCUCAGAUUAGCUGUUGUUACCAACUCCUGUACUAAUGCUUCAAAUUGUUGAAUAUAGUCAUGUUCCUCUACUGGUAGAAACAUAUUUGCAGAAACAUUAACCUUUCUCCAGGAACGCCAUUGUUUCAAUAAGUCUUUGACUUUUCUUUUUAUUUCGAACUUAUGCAAUUCAUUAGUUUCGGUGUAGUCAUAUGUAUCUUCGGAUUCAGCUGUUGCAGCGGGAUUCCAGUAGUGAUCAUAAAGCCAUGAUAAUGCUCGUUGCGCAGCUUGUCUUAAAACAGGUAGAGAAGGAAGUUCUUCAUGAGUAAUGGCGUGUCUCAAUUCGACAAAAUAAGUAGGUAAAUCAAUUGAUUUGGCUAAAACAGCCAUUGGGAUGGCGUACUGCGAUUGCUGGAUAGGAUCCAACAAGCCACUUACAAAUCUAGAUAUUGAAACAGCUAAUGCUAGCUUUUGCGAUCGGUCAUUACUUAUUAAAGAUGAAACUAAUUGCGACGUUGAUUCCACUGAAUGGGGAAUACGACCUCGGGUUGACCAAGCCUGAAUAAUUUCAACACCUCUAAACAAAGCAGCUAAAUCAGGUAUUCCUUCUUGUCCUUCAUUAUAAAAGCAAGACAUUAAGUAAAGGAAAUCUUCCUUUAAUCUCCAUGGAACGACUUUCAUGUCCAUUUUUAAAAACUCAUGACAAGUGUUGGUAGUUGGCUAAGCGAUACUUUACUUAUAGACAUCACAUACGAGAGGAAAAUCCUGUAUUAGCUUUUACAGUAUAUUAU
This 1772-nucleotide long non-coding RNA is filed under the name Schizosaccharomyces pombe (fission yeast). Lineage: Eukaryota; Fungi; Ascomycota; Schizosaccharomycetes; Schizosaccharomycetales; Schizosaccharomycetaceae. The record is from RNAcentral.